AUAUCUAUGGUGGCGACCGGCGCACGGGUGCGUAACGCGUAUGCAACCUACCUUUAACAGGGGGAUAACACUGAGAAAUUGGUACUAAUACCCCAUAAUAUCAUAGAAGGCAUCUUUUAUGGUUGAAAAUUCCGAUGGUUAGAGAUGGGCAUGCGUUGUAUUAGCUAGUUGGUGGGGUAACGGCUCACCAAGGCGACGAUACAUAGGGGGACUGAGAGGUUAACCCCCCACACUGGUACUGAGACACGGACCAGACUCCUACGGGAGGCAGCAGUGAGGAAUAUUGGUCAAUGGACGCAAGUCUGAACCAGCCAUGCCGCGUGCAGGAUGACGGCUCUAUGAGUUGUAAACUGCUUUUGUACGAGGGUAAACGCAGAUACGUGUAUCUGUCUGAAAGUAUCGUACGAAUAAGGAUCGGCUAACUCCGUGCCAGCAGCCGCGGUAAUACGGAGGAUUCAAGCGUUAUCCGGAUUUAUUGGGUUUAAAGGGUGCGUAGGCGGUUUGAUAAGUUAGAGGUGAAAUUUCGGGGCUCAACCCUGAACGUGCCUCUAAUACUGUUGAGCUAGAGAGUAGUUGCGGUAGGCGGAAUGUAUGGUGUAGCGGUGAAAUGCUUAGAGAUCAUACAGAACACCGAUUGCGAAGGCAGCUUACCAAACUAUAUCUGACGUUGAGGCACGAAAGCGUGGGGAGCAAACAGGAUUAGAUACCCUGGUAGUCCACGCAGUAAACGAUGAUAACUCGUUGUCGGCGAUACACAGUCGGUGACUAAGCGAAAGCGAUAAGUUAUCCACCUGGGGAGUACGUUCGCAAGAAUGAAACUCAAAGGAAUUGACGGGGGCCC
RNAcentral lists this ribosomal RNA (841 nucleotides) under uncultured bacterium. RNAcentral's name for it is "bacterial SSU rRNA". It matches the Rfam family "Bacterial small subunit ribosomal RNA", at positions 79 to 922 of the family's 1533-position model. The record is from RNAcentral.